CGUUGAAACACCGGUUCACGUAUGAUCACCGAAGUUAAGCAAUGACGAGUCUGGUUAGCACUUAGAAGGGUUACCGCUCGGAAAUAUCAGGUGCU
Non-coding RNA from Acanthosepion pharaonis, 95 nucleotides. Lineage: Eukaryota; Metazoa; Mollusca; Cephalopoda; Sepiida; Sepiidae. The record is from the annotation of a GenBank genome assembly.